Long non-coding RNA from Trematomus bernacchii (emerald rockcod), 1607 nucleotides. RefSeq lists it as uncharacterized. The transcript has 2 exons. Lineage: Eukaryota; Metazoa; Chordata; Actinopteri; Perciformes; Nototheniidae. The record is from RefSeq and is a predicted model, not a curated record.
UUCUAUUUAUUUUCUUCAUAAAGACAAAGUGAGUUAAAUGGGCAUUACAAUUUCCUCUCAUUAGUAUAUUAAAAUAGUAUCUGUUUAAAAAAAAAAAAAAAAAAGGGAAUUAUAAAUAGGAAGUCAAAAUUACAAGAACAUUUAGAUAAAAAAAGUUCACCAUGGACCACUGCGCAACAAAACAUCCAAGGGACUUCUUCACUGCAGACAUGUUGACUUCUUCUGGCGCCUGAACUUCUCAUUAUGGAAUAAAGUUGUAUGAUAUGGACCCCAGCACCUCCACCCCCUGGUCCUGGCAGCUACUCACCAGCCUCCACCACAUGGUCCAUGGUGGGGAACCGUUUGAACACGGCGGUGCUGACGGAGCGGAGGAUGAGCAGGGCCGACAGACUGGCAUAGCGCAUCAUGGUGCGUCUCAGCAGGCGGCCCCGCUCGUCGCUGCCCUGGAGCCCCCCCGACAGGACGCACAUGAGCCGGUCAGGGAGCGGGAUGCUGGUAUACUGGCUCCACCAGCGGUUCACCACCAGGGUCACAUAGAAACCUGCACACAGCGAUGGAGAAGAGACACAGGGGGUUAUUCUGGAUUAUUCUAGAAAUACUUUGUUAAGAGGACAGUUCUCCAGUGGCCUCAGGGGCCCCAAGCAAUAUAUAAGAAAUGUGUGCUUGACUGUUACAUCAUUUCUGCUAUGGAGCCCAACCGAUACAUGAUACUGUCAGUACUGUCUGAUAAUAGUCUUUCUCAUUAUAUACUUUAUACUACAGUAGGGCUGCAAAUGAAGAUACUUUCCACAAUUUAGUAAUCAGCCAAUUAUUUUCUAGACUAAUUCAGUACUGAUUCAUUGUUGGUCUACAAAAUGUCAAUACUAGUCAACAUGUAAAUCCCUCUCAAAGUCCAAGGUGAGGUCUAUCAAUGUCUUAUUUUGAUUUUCACUUUGAUAUGAUAUAAUAUUCCCAUUCAGAUUAUUGCCCAUUAUGUGGAAAUGUGUCUUUCCUACCAGCAAAUACAAAGACACUCAGUUUACACACAACAUACAGUUCACACACAAUACACAAUAACAUUUGUGUAUCUACAGUAGUCUAAAAGUGACUCAUUUGCAGUCAUAGUUAAAGUGCUGAGUGCAUUGUUAUUCCACUGGCUUGUAGUCAAAUACAUUUUUUUUUCAUGAAAAGUCACUUAAUACUAUUUGAAUAGCUUAAUACUAACGAUUAAUCUAUGAGAAAAAUAGUUCUGAAUGGUUUUUCUGUCAUUUUUUCUGACAAAUUAAUCAGUCGACCACUCAAUAAAGCUCUACUGUAUGUAAGCCUUAGGAAGUAUUUUAGUAUAUAUUAAAAAAGAAAAGCUUUAUGUACAGAGCAGAAAAUCCACUUUCAAUUCUGUAAAAGUGGUGGUAGAAAUGUUGCAAAGGAUAUUUUAAUAGAUUUUCUUUGCUCUCUAUAGUUAAAGUUUUUCAACUAUUCACAAUCCUUUAAGCUCAAAAUGAGUCAGAUAAUCAAUAUUCUAAUUAUUUGGCUGUAUUUAUACCUCCAUUGCAACAACUCAACAUAUAUUCUGAGGUCUACAGCUGAAAGUCCUUAACAUAGAAACCAAUAAAAAGUUGUUGCGUACA